RNAcentral lists this unclassified non-coding RNA (1873 nucleotides) under Melitaea cinxia (Glanville fritillary). Its description in RNAcentral is "misc RNA ENSMCXG00005016048.1". Lineage: Eukaryota; Metazoa; Arthropoda; Insecta; Lepidoptera; Nymphalidae. The record is from RNAcentral.
GGCAAACAAGCGUACGGCUCACCUGAUGGUAAGCGAUUACCGUAGCAUAUAGACAUCUGCAACACCAGAAGCAUCACAAGCGCGUUGCCGACCCUAUCCCCAAUCCCAAAACCCAACUAUAACGUUGUUAACUGACGUUAAACGUGUCAACGAACGUUAACUGAGGUAGGGUACAGCAGGAAUUUCCUGCUCAAAAUAUGGAGCAGCCCGACUGGGGUAGUACCUCGACCUUACAGAAGAUCACAGCAAAAUAAUACUGUUUUCAAGCAGUAUUGUGUUCCUGUUGGUGAGUAAGGUGACCAGAGCUCCAGGGGUGAUUGGAAGUAGGGUCGGCAAUGCGCUUGAGAUGCUUUACAAACGUUUAUAGGCUACAGUAAUCGCUUACCAUCAAAUGAGCCGUAUGCUUGUUUGCCGACCUAGUUGUAUAAAAAAGUGCUUAAGUAGUAGGUAUAAGUGCCUAAUUUUUUUCUAUUUAUAAAACAAGAUUUGGAUAGUGAUUAUCUGACUGAAACACGAGAUAUAAUGAUUAAAUAAAAGGAAAAAAAAAUAUUAAAUAAAAUAAAAUCGUAAUUGGCCUUAAUGAUUAUAUUUCUUUCUUGUUUCUUUCAUAGCUUUUUUAUGAUGUGUAUGGUUCGCAUAUGUACCCAAAUAAAUAAAUAAAAGGAAUCAACGAUAUAAUACUACUUAUUAAGUACUACAUAUAAACUAAAACAAGAAAGACAAAAUACGCACUAAGCCUAUUUUAUUACUGGAAUAGUAAUCUCUUUCAGACAAGUUAUCUAAUUUUAAAACAAAAGACGUUACAGCCUGUGUGUGAGUCGCAUUUAGUAAUUAUGCUGGGAGUACUGUAAAUUUGUGGUCGCUUAGAAAAUUUUGGUUCGGAUACCAACCUUCAUUUGUAGGUGGUAGCUAGUAAUAGGUAUUUCCUGAUACACAAAUUGUGCACGAUAUGGGUCUUGUUGGGGUAGUUAUCUAUAAAUACCUCUUGUUUACGCAGGCUAGCUUUCAUGAAAUUUAUUUGAUCACUACCCGGACCGGACCCGGCAGACGCUGUCCUGCCCGGAAAACAGCUACUAAAUUUGAUUGCUUACAUACCGAAAGCAGCGUCACCUACCGGGUCCAAUUGAUAUAAAAACUACCCAAUCUUCUAAGUUGGAUCAAGUUACAGAUGCUUACAAAAUUUGAUGAAAAUUGGUUGAGUAGUUUCGGAGUUUAUCGCCCACAUAUAUCGUGACACGAAAUUUAUUCAUAUAUAUAGAUUAACUAAGAAGUAAUAAUUAAAAAGUUCCAUGCUUAAAAUACCCUGUCAUUUAAAACAUUUUUGUAACUAUUUUACUUUUUAAAUUAAAUAAGUUGUAUACAGUAGUAUAAAAAGUUGCUAUAAUGUAUAUAUAUAUAUAUAUAUAUAUAUAUAUAUAUAUAUAUAUAUAUAUACCUAUUUUGUGUAGCUACACAUUUUGUGCUCUGUUAGAAUUAUUUUAAUGGAAAUAAUUAUUUUUAUAACAAAUUAGAAAUUAUAUUAUAAUAAAUUAGAAUUCGUACCAUUCAAUGCGGUGGUUGCUUUUAUCGGUACAAAAGUGAUAAUUUACAGAAACAAAACGUUGUCAAAUUCAUGAAUUGAUUAUGAUAAAAUUUGUCAUAUUAAUCGCUUUGUUGAAUUCAUAUCAUAUCAUGAGAUAAAAAUUUUAAUCACUGUUAAAUAUAAUUCAAAGAAAUUUUAAUCAGCGUUUUUAAUUUUACUAACACGAUAACUAUAAAAGACAAUAAUCUAUAAUAUAAAAAUGAGUCGCUGAAUCUGUUGCUAAGCGCAAAACUCGAGAACGGUUGGACCGAUUUCGCUAAUUCUUUUUUUAAAAUAUUCCUUGAAGUACGA